This 497-nucleotide ribosomal RNA is filed under the name uncultured bacterium. RNAcentral describes it as "partial 16S ribosomal RNA". It matches the Rfam family "Bacterial small subunit ribosomal RNA", at positions 28 to 507 of the family's 1533-position model. The record is from RNAcentral.
GAUGAACGCUGGCGGCGUGCCUAAUACAUGCAAGUCGAGCGAACGGACGAGAAGCUUGCUUCUCUGAUGUUAGCGGCGGACGGGUGAGUAACACGUGGAUAACCUACCUAUAAGACUGGGAUAACUUCGGGAAACCGGUGCUAAUACCGGAUAAUAUUUUGAACCGCAUGGUUCAAAAGUGAAAGACGGUCUUGCUGUCACUUAUAGAUGGAUCCGCGCUGCAUUAGCUAGUUGGUAAGGUAACGGCUUACCAAGGCAACGAUGCAUAGCCGACCUGAGAGGGUGAUCGGCCACACUGGAACUGAGACACGGUCCAGACUCCUACGGGAGGCAGCAGUAGGGAAUCUUGCGCAAUGGGCGAAAGCCUGACGGAGCAACGCCGCGUGAGUGAUGAAGGUCUUCGGAUCGUAAAACUCUGUUAUUAGGGAAGAACAUAUGUGUAAGUAACUGUGCACAUCUUGACGGUACCUAAUCAGAAAGCCACGGCUAACUACGUG